This 433-nucleotide ribosomal RNA is filed under the name uncultured bacterium. Its description in RNAcentral is "partial 16S ribosomal RNA". It matches the Rfam family "Bacterial small subunit ribosomal RNA", at positions 29 to 507 of the family's 1533-position model. The record is from RNAcentral.
AACGAACGCUGGCGGCAUGCCUAACACAUGCAAGUCGAACGAGACCUUCGGGUCUAGUGGCGCACGGGUGCGUAACGCGUGGGAACCUGCCCUUAGGUUCGGAAUAACUCCCCGAAAGGGGUUCUAAUACCGGAUAAUGUCUUCGGACCAAAGAUUUAUCGCCUUUGGAUGGGCCCGCGUUGGAUUAGCUCGUUGGUAGGGUAAAAGCCUACCAAGGCGACGAUCCAUAGCUGGUCUGAGAGGAUGAUCAGCCACACUGGGACUGAGACACGGCCCAGACUCCUACGGGAGGAAGGAGUGGGGAAUAUUGGACGAUGGGCCAAAGCAUGAUCCAGCAAGGCCGCGUGAGUGAUGAAGGCCUUAGGGUUGUAAAGCGCUUUUACCCGGGAUGAUAAUGACAGUACCGGGAGAAAAAGCGCCGGCUAACUCCGUG